This 465-nucleotide ribosomal RNA is filed under the name Vreelandella stevensii. Its description in RNAcentral is "partial 16S ribosomal RNA". It matches the Rfam family "Bacterial small subunit ribosomal RNA", at positions 338 to 795 of the family's 1533-position model. The record is from RNAcentral. Lineage: Bacteria; Pseudomonadati; Pseudomonadota; Gammaproteobacteria; Oceanospirillales; Halomonadaceae.
CCUACGGGGGGCAGCAGUGGGGAAUAUUGGACAAUGGGGGGAACCCUGAUCCAGCCAUGCCGCGUGUGUGAAGAAGGCCCUCGGGUUGUAAAGCACUUUCAGUGAGGAAGAACGCCUGGUGGUUAAUACCCAUCAGGAAAGACAUCACUCACAGAAGAAGCACCGGCUAACUCCGUGCCAGCAGCCGCGGUAAUACGGAGGGUGCGAGCGUUAAUCGGAAUUACUGGGCGUAAAGCGCGCGUAGGUGGCUUGAUAAGCCGGUUGUGAAAGCCCCGGGCUCAACCUGGGAACGGCAUCCGGAACUGUCAAGCUAGAGUGCAGGAGAGGAAGGUAGAAUUCCCGGUGUAGCGGUGAAAUGCAUAGAGAUCGGGAGGAAUACCAGUGGCGAAGGCGGCCUUCUGGACUGACACUGACACUGAGGUGCGAAAGCGUGGGUAGCAAACAGGAUUAGAUACCCCUGUAGUC